This 161-nucleotide ribosomal RNA is filed under the name Excoecaria acerifolia. RNAcentral describes it as "5.8S ribosomal RNA". It matches the Rfam family "5.8S ribosomal RNA". Rfam says of the family: 5.8S ribosomal RNA (5.8S rRNA) is a component of the large subunit of the eukaryotic ribosome. It is transcribed by RNA polymerase I as part of the 45S precursor that also contains 18S and 28S rRNA. The record is from RNAcentral. Lineage: Eukaryota; Viridiplantae; Streptophyta; Magnoliopsida; Malpighiales; Euphorbiaceae.
AAAAUGACUCUCGGCAACGGAUAUCUCGGCUCUCGCAUCGAUGAAGAACGCAGCGAAAUGCGAUACUUGGUGUGAAUUGCAGGAUCCCGCGAACCAUCGAGUCUUUGAACGCAAGUUGCGCCCGAAGCCUUUUGGCCGAGGGCACGUCUGCCUGGGUGUCA